AGCGGCAGGCUUAACACAUGCAAGUCGAGGGGUAACAGAGAUUGCUUGCAAUCCGCUGACGACCGGCGAACGGGUGCGUAACGCGUAUGCAACCUACCUUUUACAGGGGAAUAGCCCAAAGAAAUUUGGAAUAAUACCCCAUAAGAUCUUUAAUUGGCAUCAAUCAAAGAAGAAAACUCAGGUGGUAAAAGAUGGGCAUGCGUCCUAUUAGUUAGUUGGUAAGGUAACGGCUUACCAAGACUUCGAUAGGUAGGGGUCCUGAGAGGGAGAUCCCCCACACUGGUACUGAGACACGGACCAGACUCCUACGGGAGGCAGCAGUGAGGAAUAUUGGACAAUGGAGGCAACUCUGAUCCAGCCAUGCCGCGUGCAGGAAGACUGCCCUAUGGGUUGUAAACUGCUUUUAUACAGGAAGAAUUGCAUCUACGUGUAGUUGCUUGACGGUACUGUACGAAUAAGGAUCGGCUAACUCCGUGCCAGCAGCCGCGGUAAUACGGAGGAUCCAAGCGUUAUCCGGAAUUAUUGGGUUUAAAGGGUCCGUAGGCGGUUUUUUAAGUCAGAGGUGAAAUCCUGCAGCUCAACUGUAGCAUUGCCUUUGAUACUGAAAGACUUGAGUUAUUGUGAAGUAGUUAGAAUGUGUAGUGUAGCGGUGAAAUGCAUAGAUAUUACACAGAAUACCGAUUGCGAAAGCAGAUUACUAACAAUAUACUGACGCUCAUGGACGAAAGCGUGGGUAGCGAACAGGAUUAGAUACCCUGGUAGUCCACGCCGUAAACGAUGGAUACUAGCUGUUCGAUCAACAUUGGUUGAUUGAGUGGUUAAGCGAAAGUGAUAAGUAUCCCACCU
This 846-nucleotide ribosomal RNA is filed under the name uncultured Flavobacteriaceae bacterium. RNAcentral describes it as "bacterial SSU rRNA". It matches the Rfam family "Bacterial small subunit ribosomal RNA", at positions 38 to 874 of the family's 1533-position model. Lineage: Bacteria; Pseudomonadati; Bacteroidota; Flavobacteriia; Flavobacteriales; Flavobacteriaceae. The record is from RNAcentral.